UAAUUCUUUUACAAAUUAAAAUCUAUUUUUUUCUUUCUCUUUCUGUUCACUUCCUAUUUUUUCUAGCAAAAUAAAACUAGUGAGAGAGAGAGAGAGAGAGAGAGAGUGGGGAGGGCCAUUUCGUCUAGAACAAGGAAGGGAAGGGAGGAGGUUUUGAUCUUCCUUCUACCCAAAAUCAUCAUCCAUUUUGAAAGAUCAAGGAAGAAUAGCCACAAAUCAAAGGUAUAAACACCUUUUAUCAAAGUUAUUUUUAGUUAUUUAAAUCAAAACUUGAGUUUAUGUUUUUAAACUUAAAAACCUUAGAUCUACAUGUUAAUAAGUGUGUUAUGUAUAGAUCUAUCACUUUUGAGGAUCAAAAGUUGGAUCUAAAGCAAGAAAUUACAACUAGUUUUUCCAAAAAUUAGAAAACCCUAAUUUUUUUCUACUUUGUAAGCUUAUAACUUGAGAUCUAUAACUUCUUUUUGCGAUCCGUAAAAGAAGAGUGCUAGAUAUAUAAGUUAAAUAGUAAACUCAAGUGGCAACACUCAAAAUAUUGAUUUUACAAGUUAUGGUGUCUGUUUUGGCAAAAAUAGUCCAGAUUUUUUCAAAUGGGGAAAAAGAGAAAACAAAGUUUCUGGCCAGUCAUUGCCAGGGGUAGUUUUGUAAUUUUUUGUGCUUUAAAAAUUUUGGAAAACUUUGGAGAGAUAAUAUGAGACGUUAUGUGAGUCCUGUAAAUAUUUGAGAAUUUUUGGCCAUGUAGAAUGAGAGUUAUGACUGUUUUGGUAAAUGACUACUUUCAAACGUACACCCGAAUAACUCUAGGUGAUUAGCUCCAAAAAUUAUGAAAUAUUUACAGGAAGUACAUAUAUAUAACAGGAACCUAAAAUUUUGAAAUUGUCUAACAAAGUUUCGAUUUAUGAUAAAUAUAGCAAGAGUUGGCUGUUUUGGACUAUUUAAAUAUAGUAAAUGAAUUUCAAAAAUUCCAGGAAACAUAUAUGUUUAUAAGGGACCUAUAAUCUGUCGAAUCCCAGAAAAGAAAGAUUUUUGGAACUGAUUUGAUAUUUUUCAUGGAAAUGAUUUAGUUAUGAAUAAAUGAAUUAAAUAUGUUAUGUAAUGUUCAAAAUAUGAAAAAUAGGAUUUUAUGACUUGGAAACCCUAAAUAUGGUUUAUGAAAAUUUUUGAUGGGGGAUUUUGGUCAUUGGUGAUGAGAUCUUGUGUAUGGAAUUUUAAAAUGAAUAAAUGAAUUAAUUAGUAAAGUGUAAACAAUUAAAAUAAAUUGUUAAAUAAAUGAUUAAAAUAUUAUUAGAUGACUAAUAAUAUUAGACUAAGAUAUUAUUAAGUAAUUAAUAAUAUUUAGAUUAAAGUUAAAAUAAAAUAUUAUUAACUGAUUAAUAAUAUUAGUUAAGGAUUAAAAUAUUAUUAAAUAAUUAAUAAUAUUUGAUUAAAAUAUUAUUAAAGGGUUAUUAAUAUUUGUAAACGAUUAAGAUAUUAUUAUAUGAUUAAAAUAAUAUUAAUUGAUUAAUAAUACUAAGAAGUGAAUAAAAUAUUAUUAAGAUUAAUGAUAUGAAAUGAGUUUAAGAUGAUAGUAAUAUUAUCAAGGUGUGAUAACAUUACUAAGAACUUAAUGUAAGAUCUAAUAUUUAUUAUGUGGUUAAAUGUUAAAUAAUACGUUCUUAAAAUAGUAAUGUUAUGAGAUAAAGUAUAUUAUGUUAAUUGAAAAAUCAAUCUUAACAAUGGUAUGCCUUUUCAAUAAAGAGAUUAUAAUAGAUUGCGUAGCAGUAAUCGUUGGGCAAUGCAAGUUCCCUAACUCAAACAUGAGUUAUUAUAUUUUAAGCAUGCUAGUGGUUUAAUUAUUUAUAAUUAUUUCACAUCUUUGAUUAUUGAUUCGCACAUAGUGUAUGUUGCAUAUGUUCAUAAGGUAUGAAAGGCUGAUCACCUUCAUUACCAUAAGGUUCAGUUAAUAUUGUUCAUGGUCAUUGUUGACCACCCAACACUAUUGAUUUAGUCAUUCAAUCAUUAAAAUUGAUUCAUGCUCUUUCACAAUCAUUAUAUUGUUGAAAAUUUGACAUGUUAUUACUUUUCAACCAUGAUAUAUCUUCAUUGUACUUAAAUUUGCUGGACAAAGUAGUUGCUCACCCUUGCUAUAUUAUGAUAACAUUUUCAGAUUAAAGACGAAGGCUCGAAUAAAGACAGAGGCAAAGGAAAAUUUCAGAAUUAGAUUAUUAUGCAG
This 2209-nucleotide long non-coding RNA is filed under the name Panax ginseng (ginseng). Its description in RNAcentral is "long non-coding RNA (PGIN_LNC014670)". Lineage: Eukaryota; Viridiplantae; Streptophyta; Magnoliopsida; Apiales; Araliaceae. The record is from RNAcentral.